Molecule: transfer RNA, 141 nt
Filed under: Gomphillus americanus
Lineage: Eukaryota; Fungi; Ascomycota; Lecanoromycetes; Ostropales; Graphidaceae
Description: tRNA-Asn
Rfam family: tRNA
About the family: Transfer RNA (tRNA) molecules are approximately 80 nucleotides in length. Their secondary structure includes four short double-helical elements and three loops (D, anti-codon, and T loops).
Source: RNAcentral
GGCUGAGUGGCGUAGCGGUAAGUAAGUAUUUUCCUGUUUCCAAUGAAGUCUUAGUUGACAUUCUGAAGCGCGUCUGAUUCCAGUUUCCCAUGGGUAUUGAGGAAGUCCAGAAGAUCUUGGGUUCAAGUCCCAACUCGGUCA